This 853-nucleotide ribosomal RNA is filed under the name Humicola homopilata. RNAcentral describes it as "partial large subunit ribosomal RNA". It matches the Rfam family "Eukaryotic large subunit ribosomal RNA", at positions 37 to 922 of the family's 3401-position model. The record is from RNAcentral. Lineage: Eukaryota; Fungi; Ascomycota; Sordariomycetes; Sordariales; Chaetomiaceae.
AGCAUAUCAAUAAGCGGAGGAAAAGAAACCAACAGGGAUUGCCCUAGUAACGGCGAGUGAAGCGGCAACAGCUCAAAUUUGAAAUCUGGCUUCGGCCCGAGUUGUAAUUUGCAGAGGAAGCUUUAGGCGCGGCACCAACUGAGUCCCCUGGAACGGGGCGCCACAGAGGGUGAGAGCCCCGUAUAGUUGGACGCCUAGCCUGUGUAAAGCUCCUUCGACGAGUCGAGUAGUUUGGGAAUGCUGCUCAAAAUGGGAGGUAAAUUUCUUCUAAAGCUAAAUACCGGCCAGAGACCGAUAGCGCACAAGUAGAGUGAUCGAAAGAUGAAAAGCACUUUGAAAAGAGGGUUAAAUAGCACGUGAAAUUGUUGAAAGGGAAGCGCUUGUGACCAGACUUGCGCCCGGCUGAUCAUCCGGUGUUCUCACCGGUGCACUCUGCCGGGCUCAGGCCAGCAUCGGUUCUCGCGGGGGGAUAAAGGUCCUGGGAACGUAGCUCCUCCGGGAGUGUUAUAGCCCAGGGCGUCAUGCCCUCGCGGGGACCGAGGUUCGCGCAUCUGCAAGGAUGCUGGCGUAAUGGUCAUCAGCGACCCGUCUUGAAACACGGACCAAGGAGUCAAGGUUUUGCGCGAGUGUUUGGGUGUAAAACCCGCACGCGUAAUGAAAGUGAACGUAGGUGAGAGCUUCGGCGCAUCAUCGACCGAUCCUGAUGUUUUCGGAUGGAUUUGAGUAGGAGCGUUAAGCCUUGGACCCGAAAGAUGGUGAACUAUGCUUGGAUAGGGUGAAGCCAGAGGAAACUCUGGUGGAGGCUCGCAGCGGUUUCUGACGUGCAAAUCGAUCGUCAAAUCUGAGCAUGGGG